Molecule: long non-coding RNA, 412 nt
Filed under: Vombatus ursinus (common wombat)
Lineage: Eukaryota; Metazoa; Chordata; Mammalia; Diprotodontia; Vombatidae
Description: lncRNA (ENSVURG00010007999.1)
Source: RNAcentral
GUGAGACUCAGAUCAGAAGAGUCAUUUACCGUUGACCGUGACUCACUGCUCUCAACUGAGCUGUGGACAAUGAGUUCCCAGGACUGGAAGGCGGGAGCAUAGGCUCUGUACCUCUAAGAAGCCCCAACAAGCUGAAUGGAAUUUUGACAGAUGGCAGAGGAAGCGGCAACACUUACCAGAAACUGGACUCGAACCAUCCUAUUGUUAAGAGUAUGAAGAUACUACAAGAGGAGGAACUGACAAAAAUCGGCCUUCGAUGCCCAUGGGAGGGCACAGACGGGCAGAUAGCCUCAGGGGUCUCCCCUCAUGAAAGCAUUUCUAUGUGGACGGCUGUACUGAAUUCAGGAAGGUCACUCACGGAGGGGCAAUUGUGAUGUAUCUGUGUCUCCCCUUUGUUAUUAUUGCUUAGUCA